Non-coding RNA from Heterocephalus glaber (naked mole-rat), 1069 nucleotides. The record is from RefSeq and is a predicted model, not a curated record. NCBI's taxonomy places the organism in Eukaryota, Metazoa, Chordata, Mammalia, Rodentia, Bathyergidae.
GGUAACUUGCCCUGUUGUGCAAAGCCUUUGGGAGUGUGAAGGACACAAGGAUGUUUAAUACGGACAUGGACAUGCAGUCGGCACCGCGAAGGAAGGCUGAGUGCUCAGCAAGCUUUUGUGUCACCUCAGAUUCUGCCUCAGAGUCUGGACUGCCUUCAGCAUGUCUGAAUCCCUUCUACUCGAUUGUUAACGGCAGGGGCUGUGUCAGAGGCUGUCCUCUCAGGUUAUCCGGACUGCUAAGUGUCAGGUGUUGGACUCUGCGUGAUUCAGAAGCCAGAGCAUUGUGGUCAAGUUAUCUGGCCAGCACACACACACACAGACACACACACACCCCAUAUAUACACAAAUACCCACACCCAGAGCCAGCGUGUGAUGACUAACUUGUCAUGGUAAUUAUAACGCAAGUAGAAUUUAGAAAGUGGAUUAUUCCAGCUGGCUGUCACGACACAGUGGCAAGUCUCCCACUAACUGUGGCUCUUCUUCAUCCAGGGCACACAACCUGCACUGUAAUCGGCUGAUUAAGCCCUAACCAGUAGGCUGUGAGGGGAAGUUGUACGUGUUGCUGGGCUGAGGCUUCUAAGCAGUGUCGCCCUCUGGGUCUGCAGGCGGAACACAGAAGACUGGAGCCAGGGGCGCAUAGGAGAAGCUCGGGGGUUCUGAGACCUGGGUGGCCUGUGCACCAACCUCACUACCUUUUGGACUUCAAGGGUGCAAGCGCUGAUGAAAAUUCUAGACUGAAAUGAUACUGUAUGAAGUCUGGACCAACUGCCAUGUUCAAGUGGAAUGGAUUUCCUCUCUUUUCGCUGUCUGGAUCAAUUUUUGGAGGCGUUAGGGAGCUUGGGCUCUCGGUUGAAGAAACACAUUGUACUGAUAACAUGUGAAAGUACAGUCUGAUUGGACUUGCCAGGCUUUCCAACUUACCGCUAAUGUGAGCAUUAAGAGGGCUUUUGCAAAAUAAAUAGAGCUUGCUGAGGUUAGUUAAGAAAGGUUCCAGAUUCCAUUCAGCAAAAGUGGAAUGUUUAAUACUUUACUAUAAAAAAUAAAAUAAAAAUAAAAAACCUCCUUGGAA